Grammomys surdaster is the source of this 579-nucleotide long non-coding RNA. RefSeq lists it as uncharacterized. The transcript has 2 exons. Lineage: Eukaryota; Metazoa; Chordata; Mammalia; Rodentia; Muridae. The record is from RefSeq and is a predicted model, not a curated record.
AAUGCAUACGUGGAACCCGGAGUUCAGCUUCGAGGACUGGAUUCUUCCAUCUUGUUUCUCAGGCAGGAUCCCCUUGUUGUUUCUACACCUGAGCUCUCCAGGCACUAGGCAUGCACGUGGUGUACGCACUACAUGUAGACAAAGUAUCCACGCACAGAAAGAAUUCUAAAACCAUGAAGGAAUUGGUGACGCCCUGAUCCUCCAGAAGGAAGAUGCUCUUCGGGCCUUGUGACUCUAGCGCCACAUUUGAACGCUCAUUUCUAGGAUUCUGAGACAAGAAAUUCAUCUGAUUGUUGAGCCCCCAGGUAUGUGGCAUUGCCAGCCACACUCAGAAACCAACCCACCAACCCAUGUACUGGGCUAACAGAUGACGUGCGCUAAACUGGACCAGUGGACACUGCAGCCGCGUGUGAACCCUGCCAAGACUCCGAGAACCAUCCAGCUGUGUCCAUCCCAGAUCCCUGACUCACACCAUGAUGGGAUAAAAGAAAUCUCAUCUGAAGUCUGUGUUGUUUUUUAUAGUAAUUAAAAUUACAGUUACCAUGUGCUGGGCUUGGUAUAAAAUCCUUUAUCAACACA